Molecule: unclassified non-coding RNA, 1199 nt
Filed under: Leishmania donovani
Lineage: Eukaryota; Euglenozoa; Kinetoplastea; Trypanosomatida; Trypanosomatidae
Description: gene:LdHU3.09.1260(CDS-product:UEV_domain/Zinc_fi nger_C3HC4_type_(RING_finger)_containing_protein_putative)
Source: RNAcentral
CUCAUGCGUGGCUACACUGGAGCAGAGAAAAUAUGAACGACGAUGUGGUUCGGUUUUUCAGCAGCACCAGCCACUAUAGACCUGAAGUCCUCCGCCGCAUUGUGAUGGAUAUCGACACAGUCUGCAACUCACUCUGCUUCUCUAGGAAGAUCACUACCUGGGGCAGCACCGAGCAGCCCAAAAUUUGCCUCUACGGAGGGCUUCCUGUCAGCUUCCCGAUGAUACCGAGAGGUGAAGCUGAUGGAGAGCACAGCGCUGCUAGUGAGCCUAUCCCUCAGUCCUUCCUUAUCCCUAUCCAAAUUUGGAUUUCGCAUCAGUUCCCCGCAGAACCGCCCUUUAUUUACCUCGCCUACACCCGCACUAGCGAAGCCUCACACAUUCCGGAGUCCGUGAAUACCUCGGUUCUGAAGAUCGUAAACAAUCACCCAAACGUGGAUUUUACAGGACUGUGCUUUUGCAAAGAGCUAGCUGAAUGGAAACCGUCCACUUCGUCCCUGUGCUUCACGGUGGAACGCCUAGGCAGGGCACUAGAGAAAAGUGGCCGCUGCCCAAUUUACAUUGAUCAAAGAAUUUGCGGGAACUCGCCGGCCAUGGACAGCAACAAUAAUGAUUAUGGCAGCAAGAGUGUUACGGGCGACAUGCUGCCGAGCUCAUGCCUCGUUUGUUAUGACAAGAAAGACACAGUUUUAGUGCCCUGCGGACACUUUUGCGUGUGCAUGUCUUGUGCAGCGAAUUUGAUGGAGUGCCCACUGUGCCGCGCAAAGAUCAUGGUUCGUCAAAGAGUGUUCGAGUGACGUCCUCUUUGUGUGUUGCGGUGCCGUAUAUGCGUGCUGGUGUCAAUGAAACUUCAAAGGCGUUUAUGUGCACCUUUGUCUAGAGAACGUGCAUUUUCAUCGUUGACUAUGCGGGCGAGUGAGAUCGCAAGACGGCCAGAGAGGUUUUGCUCUCUGCGGCUGGAAUCUGCUACGCGAUUUCUUCCACACGGAUGCGAGAGAUGCAAAGAGAUGACAGAAACGCAAAAGAACGCUUCCUUUUUCCUUGAGCAUACAGGUGAAAACGUGCUGUACACCAAAAAGAUGAUGCUCGAAAAACAAACACCGAAAGAAGCGUCAGUCGUCUGCUCGAGCACAACACAAUCAACGCUUUUUUACCACUCAAAACACCGAAGGGCAGUUCUAUGCAUUCUCACUCACGGGUAG